This 58-nucleotide ribosomal RNA is filed under the name uncultured organism. RNAcentral describes it as "partial 16S ribosomal RNA". The record is from RNAcentral.
UGGGCUGGACAUACACCAGAUCGCUGCAGAGAUGUAGCUUCCCUUGUGGCUGGUGUAC